AUGGCUGUCGUCAGCUCGUGUCGUGAGACGUUGGGUUAAGUCCCGCAACGAGCGCAACCCUUGUCCUUAGUUGCCAUCAUUUAGUUGGGAACUCUAAGGAGACCGCCGGUGACAAACCGGAGGAAGGUGGGGAUGACGUCAAGUCAUCAUGGCCCUUAUGACCAGGGCUACACACGUGCUACAAUGGUAGGUACAAAGGGUCGCGAAGCCGCAAGGUGGAGCCAAUCCCAUAAAGCCUAUCGUAGUCCGGAUCGGAGUCUGCAACUCGACUCCGUGAAGUCGGAAUCGCUAGUAAUCGUAGAUCAGCAUUGCUACGGUGAAUACGUUCCCGGGUCUUGUACACACCGCCCGUCACACCAUGGGAGUUGAUUGCACCAGAAGCAGGUAGCCUAACCGCAAGGGGGGCGCCUACCACGGUGUGUUCAAUGACUGGGGUGAAGUCGUAACAAGGUAGCCGUACGGGAACGUGCGGCUGGAUCACCUCCUUUAAAGAGACAGCGCCAAAGAACGUUUUGCCGCGAGCCUCCCUUCACAAGUUACUUAUUCUUAUGUUUAGUUGGUUGGGCCCACUUAUGGGCAAGUCCGACGCAUGGCCCGCGGGUCUGUAGCUCAGUUGGUUAGAGCGCACCCCUGAUAAGGGUGAGGUCGGAGGUUCAACUCCUCCCAGACCCACCAAAUCAGCCUCGUGGGUCGGCGGCGUCCAGCAGCUCUGUUCCGCGCACAUGAAGAUCAAGCGGAAGGGGCCAUAGCUCAGCUGGGAGAGCGUCUGGUUUGCAACCAGAAGGUCGCCGGUUCGAUCCCGGCUGGCUCCACCAAACCAACUUCGAUCACAGCGUGUCAUGAGUCAUGCGCGAAUCGUCCCUCGUUGCGGGGCGAUCGCAUGACUCAUGACAUGCGAGUCAUGAGACUCGUAUGUGUUCUUUAAAAAUUCGGCAAUUUGUUUUGAUGUCUGACUUGAGCGAAAGCUUAAGUUGGGUGUCGCAUUCGAGAACCAGUUGAUUGAGUGAUAUGACUCCAAAUCGCUUGGGGUUAUAUGGUCAAGUGAAUAAGCGCACAUGGUGGAUGCCUUGGCGACAGAAGGCGAUGAAGGACGUGGUAGCCUGCGAUAAGCUUCGGGGAGCCGGCAAAUAUGCUUCGAUCCGAAGAUUUCCGAAUGGGGAAACCCGG
Molecule: small RNA, 1167 nt
Filed under: uncultured Sinobacteraceae bacterium
Lineage: Bacteria; Pseudomonadati; Pseudomonadota; Gammaproteobacteria; Nevskiales; Nevskiaceae
Description: bacterial SSU rRNA
Rfam family: Bacterial small subunit ribosomal RNA (bases 1-488)
Source: RNAcentral